CCUACGGGGGGCAGCAGUGAGGAAUAUUGGUCAAUGGACGAGAGUCUGAACCAGCCAAGUAGCGUGAAGGAUGACUGCCCUAUGGGUUGUAAACUUCUUUUAUAUGGGAAUAAAAUGUUCCACGUGUGGGAUUUUGUAUGUACCAUAUGAAUAAGGAUCGGCUAACUCCGUGCCAGCAGCCGCGGUAAUACGGAGGAUCCGAGCGUUAUCCGGAUUUAUUGGGUUUAAAGGGAGAGUAGGUGGAUUGUUAAGUCAGUUGUGAAAGUUUGCGGCUCAACCGUAAAAUUGCAGUUGAAACUGGCAGUCUUGAGUACAGUAGAGGUGGGCGGAAUUCGGGGUGUAGCGGUGAAAUGCUUAGAUAUCACGAAGAACUCCGAUUGCGAAGGCAGUUCACUGGACUGCAACUGACACUGAGGCUCGAAAGUGUGGGUAUCAAACAGGAUUAGAUACCCCGGUAGUC
RNAcentral lists this ribosomal RNA (460 nucleotides) under uncultured bacterium. RNAcentral describes it as "partial 16S ribosomal RNA". It matches the Rfam family "Bacterial small subunit ribosomal RNA", at positions 338 to 795 of the family's 1533-position model. The record is from RNAcentral.